UGCCUCAGUAACGGCGAGUGAAGCGGCAACAGCUCAAAUUUGAAAUCUGGCUCCUUCGGGGUCCGAGUUGUAAUUUGCAGAGGAUGCGUCGGGUACGGGUCCCUACCGAGUUCCCUGGAACGGGACGCCAUAGAGGGUGAGAGCCCCGUCUGGUAGGAUACCCAGCCCAUGUGACGCUCCCUCGACGAGUCGAGUAGUUUGGGAAUGCUGCUCUAACGGGAGGUAUACUCCUUCCAAAGCUAAAUACCGGCUGGAGACCGAUAGCGCACAAGUAGAGUGAUCGAAAGAUGAAAAGCACUUUGAAAAGAGAGUCAAACAGCACGUGAAAUUGUUAAAAGGGAAGCACUCGCUACCAGACUUGGGUUUGGCGGUUCAACCGGGGCCACGCCCCGGGGCAUUCCGCCAGCUCAGGCCAGCAUCAGCUUUCCGUCGGGGGCAAAGACGUCGGGAAUGUGGCUCCCCCUCGGGGGAGUGUUAUAGCCCGGCGUGUCAUACCCUUCGGGGGGCUGAGGUACGCGCUUCUGCAAGGAUGCUGGCGUAAUGGUAGCUAGUGACCCGUCUUGAAACACGGACCAAGGAGUCAACCUUAUGUGCGAGUGCCCGGGCGUAAAACCCCAGCGCGGAAUGAAAGUGAACGUAGGUGAGAGCUUCGGCGCAUCACCGACCGAUCCUGAUGUCCUCGGACGGAUUUGAGUGAGAGCAUAUAGGGUUGGACCCGAAAGAAGAUGAACUAUGCGUGUGUAGGGUGAAGCCAGAGGAAACUCUGGUGGAGGCUCGCAGCGGUUCUGACGUGCAAAUCGAUCGU
RNAcentral lists this ribosomal RNA (805 nucleotides) under Plectosphaerella cucumerina. Its description in RNAcentral is "partial large subunit ribosomal RNA". It matches the Rfam family "Eukaryotic large subunit ribosomal RNA", at positions 76 to 905 of the family's 3401-position model. Lineage: Eukaryota; Fungi; Ascomycota; Sordariomycetes; Glomerellales; Plectosphaerellaceae. The record is from RNAcentral.